UUUUUAAAUGGGAUCUUGUAUGAAUGGUUGAACAAAAGGAAAGCUGUCUUGGGAUUAGGGUUUGAAUUUAACUUUUAAGUGAGAAGGCUUAAAUAUUUUAGAGGGACGAUAAGACCCUAUAAAGCUUUACAUUUGAAUUAUGUUUAGUUGAAUUUAAUAAUAAAUAAGGACUUAAUGUAAUUAAUUGUUGUGUUGGGGAGACAAAGGUAAAAUUAAUAUUAACUGCCUAUAAAAUUAACAAUUUAUGGUUGUAUAAAAGUAUAAUAGAUCCUGUGAAAAAUAUGGAAAAAAGAUUAAGUUACUUUAGGGAUAACAGUGUAAUUUUUUUUGAGAGCUCUNAUCGNAAAAAANG
RNAcentral lists this ribosomal RNA (352 nucleotides) under Gubernatoriana gubernatoris. RNAcentral's name for it is "partial 16S ribosomal RNA". The record is from RNAcentral. Lineage: Eukaryota; Metazoa; Arthropoda; Malacostraca; Decapoda; Gecarcinucidae.